Molecule: unclassified non-coding RNA, 356 nt
Filed under: Hevea brasiliensis (rubber tree)
Lineage: Eukaryota; Viridiplantae; Streptophyta; Magnoliopsida; Malpighiales; Euphorbiaceae
Source: RNAcentral
GCCGAUCGAAGUGGAUCGCCAUCUCCUACUCCGCAGUAUCGAGACCGAUGGCGCGGGCCACCCGGUCGUAUAGUUCGUUGAAGGCCGGCGACGUCCGGCGCCGAGGCGGGAUAUCUUCCACGACGCACCCGGGAUUCGCCGACAUCACAAUGAGCCGGCUGCCAAGGACCAGGGCUUCGGCGAUAUUGUGGGUGACAAACAGGAUGGUCUGUGCACCUUGCUUCUGAAUAUCGAUCAGUUUGGAUUGCAGUGCAUAGCGGGUCAUGGCGUCGAGCGCGGCAAAAGGUUCGUCCAUGAGCAGGAGCGCAGGCUUGGUUGCAAGCGCCCGCGCGAUCGCCACCCGCUGCUUCAUCCCC